RNAcentral lists this ribosomal RNA (1031 nucleotides) under Bifidobacterium longum NCC2705. RNAcentral's name for it is "bacterial SSU rRNA". It matches the Rfam family "Bacterial small subunit ribosomal RNA", at positions 1 to 1040 of the family's 1533-position model. Lineage: Bacteria; Bacillati; Actinomycetota; Actinomycetes; Bifidobacteriales; Bifidobacteriaceae. The record is from RNAcentral.
UUUUUGUGGAGGGUUCGAUUCUGGCUCAGGAUGAACGCUGGCGGCGUGCUUAACACAUGCAAGUCGAACGGGAUCCAUCAGGCUUUGCUUGGUGGUGAGAGUGGCGAACGGGUGAGUAAUGCGUGACCGACCUGCCCCAUACACCGGAAUAGCUCCUGGAAACGGGUGGUAAUGCCGGAUGCUCCAGUUGAUCGCAUGGUCUUCUGGGAAAGCUUUCGCGGUAUGGGAUGGGGUCGCGUCCUAUCAGCUUGACGGCGGGGUAACGGCCCACCGUGGCUUCGACGGGUAGCCGGCCUGAGAGGGCGACCGGCCACAUUGGGACUGAGAUACGGCCCAGACUCCUACGGGAGGCAGCAGUGGGGAAUAUUGCACAAUGGGCGCAAGCCUGAUGCAGCGACGCCGCGUGAGGGAUGGAGGCCUUCGGGUUGUAAACCUCUUUUAUCGGGGAGCAAGCGAGAGUGAGUUUACCCGUUGAAUAAGCACCGGCUAACUACGUGCCAGCAGCCGCGGUAAUACGUAGGGUGCAAGCGUUAUCCGGAAUUAUUGGGCGUAAAGGGCUCGUAGGCGGUUCGUCGCGUCCGGUGUGAAAGUCCAUCGCUUAACGGUGGAUCCGCGCCGGGUACGGGCGGGCUUGAGUGCGGUAGGGGAGACUGGAAUUCCCGGUGUAACGGUGGAAUGUGUAGAUAUCGGGAAGAACACCAAUGGCGAAGGCAGGUCUCUGGGCCGUUACUGACGCUGAGGAGCGAAAGCGUGGGGAGCGAACAGGAUUAGAUACCCUGGUAGUCCACGCCGUAAACGGUGGAUGCUGGAUGUGGGGCCCGUUCCACGGGUUCCGUGUCGGAGCUAACGCGUUAAGCAUCCCGCCUGGGGAGUACGGCCGCAAGGCUAAAACUCAAAGAAAUUGACGGGGGCCCGCACAAGCGGCGGAGCAUGCGGAUUAAUUCGAUGCAACGCGAAGAACCUUACCUGGGCUUGACAUGUUCCCGACGGUCGUAGAGAUACGGCUUCCCUUCGGGGCGGGUUCACAGGUG